Long non-coding RNA from Acipenser ruthenus (sterlet), 887 nucleotides. RefSeq lists it as uncharacterized. The transcript is spliced from 3 exons. The record is from RefSeq and is a predicted model, not a curated record. NCBI's taxonomy places the organism in Eukaryota, Metazoa, Chordata, Actinopteri, Acipenseriformes, Acipenseridae.
CAGAUUUUAUACAGGUCUGUGGCACAGAGAGAUUGUUUUAAUUAACUUAAUUAGCUGUGAUGAUGGACAGCUGGAGGUUCAGAGCAAUACCCGGCUCUGUUUGGUCUAGAAAAUCCUCCACGGAAUCUAAAAGCCAGAAAUAAAUGAAUAAAACUAAAAUUAACAAAAAAACAAAAAAAUAAAACCAUCGCUCACCUUGCUUUAGAAAAGUGGAAUUCAGUAUUUCUGGAGGUAACUUUACAGUUGAGAAUAACCGCGAAUACAGAAAACAUACAAACAAACAAAAAAAGUUUAAAGUUUCUAAAACGCUCAGAAGACAAAAGAAAGAAUUGGCUUUGAAUCUGCAGCAGUUCCCCUUGCAGAGGACUGGAGAUUGCUUCAACGGUUCUACAGUGCCCAGAGCAGCUUGUGGGGUCCUGACAGGCUUCGGGAUGGAUGCACGAAAGUCGGGGGCCUUUUUUGAAAAAGUACCAUGAUGUAAAAUGCCAUGUGACUAAAGAAGAGCCAAUCAGCUUCCUCCUUUGUGAAUCCCCAGGUUUGAUUUGAUUGUUCUGCUCAGAGCAGUGGAUUACAAAUAUCCAGUGGAAAGGGAGGCAUGGAGGCACUGGGAUUUGAACCUGUGACAUGCUGGAUGGGAGACCAGUAUUCUACUGCAAUGCUGCGGAGGCUUGAUAACUAGCUAGGCUGCUUAUAAGACUGUUUGUACGUAGUUUGAAAAAUAGCAUGCAGGAUUUGAACCCAGGCCCUUGGGGAGGGUAACCGCCUAACAUACCUUUGCACUACCAAGCUUGGGGUGCAUAGUAGAGGUUGUAGGGUGAACUUGAACAAUCAGACACUUAAAAUAAUUGUGUAUAUUGUCUAGCAAGAUUUAUCCCAUUGUACAAUUU